UACGGGGGGAGCAAGCGUUGUUCGGAUUUACUGGGCGUAAAGCGCACGUAGGCGGCUUUGCAAGUCAGAGGUGAAAGCCCGGGGCUCAACCCCGGAAUUGCCUUUGAGACUGCAUCGCUAGAAUUGUGGAGAGGUAAGUGGAAUUCCGAGUGUAGAGGUGAAAUUCGUAGAUAUUCGGAAGAACACCAGUGGCGAAGGCGACUUACUGGACACAUAUUGACGCUGAGGUGCGAAAGCGUGGGGAGCAAACAGG
This 253-nucleotide ribosomal RNA is filed under the name uncultured bacterium. RNAcentral's name for it is "partial 16S ribosomal RNA". It matches the Rfam family "Bacterial small subunit ribosomal RNA", at positions 524 to 776 of the family's 1533-position model. The record is from RNAcentral.